GGGUCAGUAGGUUGGUCGUGCCACCGGUACGUACUGGUCUCACUGAUUCCUCCUUCCUGAAGAACCGUAAUGCCAUUAAUUUGGUGUUGCGGGGAAACAGGACUGUUACUUUGAAAAAAUUAGAGUGUAUAAAGCAAGCUAACGCUUGAAUACAUCAGCAUGGAAUAAUGAAAUAGGACGAUCGAUCCUAUUUUGUUGGUUUCUAGGAUUGACGUA
This 216-nucleotide ribosomal RNA is filed under the name Glomeromycotina sp. RNAcentral's name for it is "partial small subunit ribosomal RNA". The stretch from base 40 to 216 matches the Rfam family "Eukaryotic small subunit ribosomal RNA", at positions 686 to 864 of the family's 1831-position model. Lineage: Eukaryota; Fungi; Glomeromycota. The record is from RNAcentral.